RNAcentral lists this unclassified non-coding RNA (258 nucleotides) under uncultured fungus. RNAcentral's name for it is "partial contains 18S rRNA, ITS1, 5.8S rRNA". The record is from RNAcentral. Lineage: Eukaryota; Fungi.
GCAGAAGGAUCAUUAGUGAAGAUUUGGGCAGGCCAUACGGACGCCAAAAAGUGUCCCUGGCCGCCUACACCCACUAUACAUCUACAAACCCGUGUGCACUGUCUUGGAGAAAGGCUUCUGAGAAGUUUUUUGUGGCCUCUCUUGGGGUCUUUCUUCGCUACAAACUCGAAUGGUUAGUAUGAACGUGGAACUUGGUUGGACCGUCACUGGCCAACAAACUAUACACAACUUUCGACAACGGAUCUCUUGGUUCUCCCA